This 401-nucleotide unclassified non-coding RNA is filed under the name soil metagenome. RNAcentral's name for it is "partial contains 5.8S ribosomal RNA, internal transcribed spacer 2, and large subunit ribosomal RNA". The stretch from base 1 to 121 matches the Rfam family "5.8S ribosomal RNA", at positions 35 to 154 of the family's 154-position model. The record is from RNAcentral.
GAUGAAGAACGUAGUGAAAUGCGAUAAGUAAUGUGAAUUGCAGAAUUCAGUGAAUCAUCGAAUCUUUGAACGCACCUUGCGCCCCUUGGUUAUUCCAAAGGGCAUGCCUGUUUGAGUAUCAUGAACACCUCAACUCUUGUGGUUUCCCACAAUGAGCUUGGACUGUGGAGGUUUUGUUGGCCCUGUGGUCAGCUCCUCUCAAAUGGAUCAGCUUACCGGUGUUUGGUGGCAUUACGGGUGUGAUAACUAUCUACGCUCGUGGUCGUCUCCAAAUAACCUCCAGUGAUGGAGGUUCGCUGGAGCUUAUAAAUGUCUCUCCCCAGUGAAGACAGCCUUUGAACGUUCGAUCUCAAAUCAGGUAGGACUACCCGCUGAACUUAAGCAUAUCAAUAAGCGGAGGA